This 175-nucleotide non-coding RNA is filed under the name Thermosinus carboxydivorans. The record is from RNAcentral. RNAcentral also lists the same sequence under 1 other name. Lineage: Bacteria; Bacillati; Bacillota; Negativicutes; Selenomonadales; Sporomusaceae.
CAUAUGGCAAAGGGAAUAGGUGCCUUGCGGCUUAAUAGGGAAGUCCGGUGAAAAACCGGCACGGUCCCGCCACUGUAAUGGGGAGUCUGGCUGCGUUAUGCCACUGGAGCAAUCUGGGAAGGUGCGGCUAGCAAUGAACCAGAGUCAGGAGACCUGCCUAUUCUAACACACACCG